This 365-nucleotide unclassified non-coding RNA is filed under the name uncultured fungus. Its description in RNAcentral is "partial contains small subunit ribosomal RNA, internal transcribed spacer 1, and 5.8S ribosomal RNA". The stretch from base 1 to 73 matches the Rfam family "Eukaryotic small subunit ribosomal RNA", at positions 1759 to 1831 of the family's 1831-position model. Lineage: Eukaryota; Fungi. The record is from RNAcentral.
GCAAACUUGGUCAUUUAGAGGAAGUAAAAGUCGUAACAAGGUUUCCGUAGGUGAACCUGCGGAAGGAUCAUUAUUGAAUAUACUUGAUGGGUUGUGGCUGGCCCUCCGGGGCAUGUGCACACUUGUCUUGCUUUUAUUCAUCCACCUGUGCACCUUUUGUAGUCUUUGUGGGGAUUGAGUCACCUUGUCAGAUUGGGUUCUGGACUUGAAGAGUGCCUGUGGGCUCUUUUCUAUAGACUUUUCUCUCCCAAAGUGCUAUGUCUUUCAUAUACCACAUAGUAUGUUGUAGAAUGAUAAAUGGGAUAUAAUGAUAUACAACUUUCAGCAACGGAUCUCUUGGCUCUCGCAUCGAUGAAGAACGCAGC